UAUUGGACAAUGGGGGAAACCCUGAUCCAGCGACGCCGCGUGUGUGAAGAAGGCCUGCGGGUUGUAAAGCACUUUCGGUGGGCACGAAAUGUGCCGGGCUAAUAUCCCGGCAAGCUGACGUUACUCAAUGAAGAAGCACCGGCUAACUCUGUGCCAGCAGCCGCGGCAAUACAGAGGGUGCGAGCGUUAAUCGGAAUUACUGGGCGUAAAGCGCACGUAGGUGGCGACGUAAGUCGGGUGUGAAAUCCCCGGGCUCAACCUGGGAAUGGCAUUCGAGACUGUGUUGCUGGAGUACGGAAGAGGAGGGCGGAAUUCCCGGUGUAGCGGUGAAAUGCGUAGAUAUCGGGAGGAACAUCAGUGGCGAAGGCGGCCCUCUGGUCCAGUACUGACACUCAAGUGCGAAAGCGUGGGGAGCAAAC
This 419-nucleotide ribosomal RNA is filed under the name uncultured bacterium. RNAcentral describes it as "bacterial SSU rRNA". It matches the Rfam family "Bacterial small subunit ribosomal RNA", at positions 362 to 773 of the family's 1533-position model. The record is from RNAcentral.